UUGGCGAUGAUGAGUUGCUAACACGUAAGAAGAUCUAAUUUAAGCUUGGAUCAGCUUGGAUCUUCAAUGAAAUUCACUUGCUACGCUUGGCUUCUGAGCUUU
This is a non-coding RNA of Nicotiana attenuata, 102 nucleotides long. The record is from Rfam. Lineage: Eukaryota; Viridiplantae; Streptophyta; Magnoliopsida; Solanales; Solanaceae.